AUAACAGCUGGAAACGGCUGCUAAUACCGCAUAAGCGCACGAGGAGACAUCUCCUUGUGUGAAAAACUCCGGUGGUACAGGAUGGGCCCGCGUCUGAUUAGCUGGUUGGCAGGGUAACGGCCUACCAAGGCAACGAUCAGUAGCCGGUCUGAGAGGAUGAACGGCCACAUUGGAACUGAGACACGGUCCAAACUCCUACGGGAGGCAGCAGUGGGGAAUAUUGCACAAUGGGGGAAACCCUGAUGCAGCAACGCCGCGUGAGUGAAGAAGUAUUUCGGUAUGUAAAGCUCUAUCAGCAGGGAAGAUAAUGACGGUACCUGACUAAGAAGCUCCGGCUAAAUACGUGCCAGCAGCCGCGGUAAUACGUAUGGAGCAAGCGUUAUCCGGAUUUACUGGGUGUAAAGGGUGCGUAGGUGGCAGUGCAAGUCAGAUGUGAAAGGCCGGGGCUCAACCCCGGAGCUGCAUUUGAAACUGCUCGGCUAGAGUACAGGAGAGGCAGGCGGAAUUCCUAGUGUAGCGGUGAAAUGCGUAGAUAUUAGGAGGAACACCAGUGGCGAAGGCGGCCUGCUGGACUGUUACUGACACUGAGGCACGAAAGCGUGGGGAGCAAACAGGAUUAGAUACCCUGGUAGUCCACGCCGUAAAC
Molecule: ribosomal RNA, 646 nt
Filed under: uncultured bacterium
Lineage: Bacteria
Description: bacterial SSU rRNA
Rfam family: Bacterial small subunit ribosomal RNA
Source: RNAcentral